RNAcentral lists this non-coding RNA (187 nucleotides) under Neisseria dentiae. The record is from RNAcentral. Lineage: Bacteria; Pseudomonadati; Pseudomonadota; Betaproteobacteria; Neisseriales; Neisseriaceae.
UUGCAGAUAAAAAAAACCAUUCAUACCAAGGGAGAAGUAUGAAUGGCCAAUACAUUGCGGGAAAACGUCUUACCGGCACCCGCCUCAAGGGAGAGAAAAGGCGUUAGCGGUGCCAGCGGUUUGCAUUCUAAACCAGUUAGCUUUAAAUGGCGUUAAUCUGUGCAAUUAUUUUCAUAAUUUACGUUCA